Callorhinus ursinus (northern fur seal) is the source of this 2645-nucleotide long non-coding RNA. RefSeq lists it as uncharacterized. The record is from RefSeq and is a predicted model, not a curated record. NCBI's taxonomy places the organism in Eukaryota, Metazoa, Chordata, Mammalia, Carnivora, Otariidae.
UGGAGCAUGUAUGCAGAGGGGCGGCAGAGAAUGCCAGGACAGGGUUUGGGAAGCUGUGGCAAGUCCCACCUGAUCGCUACCGUCCUCUCCAUGAAUUCGUAGGCAGUUGCAACAGACCGGAAGAGAGCUGUAAUAAUGCGGGAAGGAUGAGUGGAAAUGAAAGGCAAUUCUCUCCUGGCCGUGGAACUAACAUAAAAGAAUUCAGUUAAGAUUUUAAAAUUUCGUCAUCAAGGCUCUGGUGCUCACAUACAAAAAGGGAGUGUUUGUUAUUGGGGGUGAACCUUGAGGUGGCCCUGGGGUCUGGACUGGAGGCCCCCAAGAGGCUGUAUAUUGUGGAUGUAGAGGCAUUAGAGGGAGGGAGCCGGACAACCAGGGCAUCCGGUUCAGAGCGCUGAGUGAGAGGAAAGCUACUCGGGACGCCAGGGAGGGGCGCGGCGUUUCCUGAUGCCCAGGGCAGGUGGGUGGGCAGGGCGAUACUCCGCUUGGGGAGAAGGAGAACAUUCCUGGGGCGGAGAGGCCAUCUUCGUGAGCCUUGAGGGGGGCCCGGAGGGAUCAGAGGAGUGAGGGCUGAGAGGGCGGACAGCGAGUGUGUUUCGGGACUGGCGUGUUCACUGGCUGGGGUGGGGAGGAGGACAAUAAACAGGGGACCCGUACAGGUGUCGCCCGUGGGGCGUGGGAGCUCCUGGGAACCUGCUGACAGUACCGGGAUAGCCCCGUCCCCGCGGUACUUCUGACAGGUCCGCAGACCCCUAAGGAGCCCGGGCCCAGCGACCGGCGCCGACGUCAUUCCACUCCGGCGCGCAUGCCCAGAAAGCACCAAUCGGAUCGCAGCGCUGACGAUUCUCCCUCCCUGGUGCCGGGACUUCCGGGCGCGGGCUUCCGGCCGCUGUUGGCAAACUUCCGAGGCAGGACGACGAAAAGGCUUUUGUGCGGCGGCCGAUUCGGCCGAGCCACUUGGGCCGUUCUCUGGCUUCCUCUGCCCUUCGGCGGCAUUCCACGUAGCUCCCACAGCCUCGAUCUGCACUUCGCCUCGCAGGGGAGUGGUAGAAAAGAUGGCUUUGCUUUCGCAACGUGUGGCGCUCAGUUUCUGUGGCCGCUAGGUGGCAGUAGUGCGCCGUGCAGGUUUUUCUGCCGUCCUCCUCCCCCGCCCUUCGUGCUUGGAAAAAGCAGCAGCGGCUUGUUGCCUCUAAACUGGAGCUGCCUUUCUGCGCCCGCGCGGGCAGGCCGCCUGGCGCCGGAUCUGCCCGGUUCCUCGCGUGGGGGGGGGGGGGCCUGCGAAAACGCACCGCCCCCGGACGAGACCCUUCUGCUUGGCCGCCGUGCCUCUCCCCAGUCGCUGCCUGGGUGCCUCAGCGCCUCGUCGUUCCGCGUCUCCGAGUCGCCUGCUCGGUGGCUUUCCCUAAGCCGCAGCCGUUAGCAGGCGCGGAGGGGAACCUGCACUGGGGAGUGUUUAAUUAAAGGCUAACAAACCUAUAGAGUUCGGGCUCAGGGAGAAUUCUGGAGGUGGGGUCGCCGGUGAAGGUGGCGCCAGGGCGCGCGCGAACUUGCUGAUGCGACUGUCCCUUCACGUAAACAUGCUUGAAAUGGUCAUUUUUAUGUUCUACCGAUUUUCCCACCCCAAGGGUGAGAGAAAACCUCUUUCUGGCGAAGGUGACACCGCGUGGGAGUUGUUCGAAAUGAGGCGUUGCACAAAUGGGUGGAACUGAAAUGCAGGUGUCAGAGAAGCCUUGAGAGAACAGAGAGCGAGGACCUUCAGCUGGGCGGAUGCCUGAGCUGAGUGACCCAGCGUGGAGGACCAGAAGGAUGUUGCCAUGACAGCGACUCCCACACUCCCUUCCAGCGCACGGGCCCUUCUCCCUCCCUCUCCGUGCCUGCUAGGAUCUCCCCUGAGAAUGGGAAUGUGCUUUGGCCAGCAGGGAAGGGAUCCGUGUAUGGUCGAGGAUGCAGGGGGAGAGGCGUAAUCUUGGGGUGUCUGCAGAAGGGACCAGAGCCCCAAAGAAAGCAGUCUGUACAACACUGAGGCCCCCGGAGACGACGAAGCCUGUGAAAGCAUAGUGGCCUCUAAAUGCGGUUCUGGGAUUUUCUCCAGCAGUGCACGGUGCUACACCGUUUUCUGAAGCCAAGCUCCAUGGCUCAGACCCUGGAAAAUGGGGCCUGUGUUGUUAAAGGAGAAUGGAGCCUGGCAUGGCUCGUGGAGGCCAUGACAGACUGGAGAAGGACCUGCUCCCCUCCGUGACAGCUCUCCUGAGUGACGGUGGCACUCCGUGUGUCUGUCUGGUCUGCUCAUCCUUCUGUGCUCCGUGUUGGGGUCCACUUACACGGGAUGUGAAACCUGGGCCUAGUUCAAGGAGAGGACAGGGCAGAGAUGCCCCAGUCUCCUCUAACGUGGACUGAUUGGAGGGUGGACGGAGGACGAGCUGCCCGGGGUGGUGAGGUGAGAACACACCUUCACUAGGGCUCCUCAGACCACAAGGCCACAUUGAUUAAUUUCUUCUCAAUGCCUGAUGUGAUCUUCGUGAUUGUUCACUGUCUGGACCUGCCAGAAACGGAGCAAACCACCCAGUGAAAUCAUUGCUGACCUGGUCCGGGGGGGUGGGAUGCAAUCAUGUGAAUGGUCUAGUUCAAUAAAUGCGCAGUCUCUCAGA